UUGACUACGUUUAACGGCCGCGGUACCCUGACCGUGCAAAGGUAGCAUAAUCACUUGUUCUUUAAAUGGGGACUCGCAUGAAAGGCACCACGAGGGUUUAACUGUCUCUUACUUUCAACCUCA
RNAcentral lists this ribosomal RNA (123 nucleotides) under Macaca silenus (liontail macaque). RNAcentral's name for it is "partial large subunit ribosomal RNA". Lineage: Eukaryota; Metazoa; Chordata; Mammalia; Primates; Cercopithecidae. The record is from RNAcentral.